Molecule: ribosomal RNA, 439 nt
Filed under: uncultured bacterium
Lineage: Bacteria
Description: partial 16S ribosomal RNA
Rfam family: Bacterial small subunit ribosomal RNA
Source: RNAcentral
CUACGGGAGGCUGCAGUGGGGAAUAUUGCACAAUGGGGGAAACCCUGAUGCAGCAACGCCGCGUGGAGGAUGACACAUUUCGGUGCGUAAACUCCUUUUAUAGGUCAAGAUAAUGACGGUAGCCUAUGAAUAAGCGCCGGCUAACUCCGUGCCAGCAGCCGCGGUAAUACGGAGGGCGCAAGCGUUACUCGGAAUCACUGGGCGUAAAGAGCAUGUAGGCGGGUUAAUAAGUCAGAAGUGAAAUCCAAUAGCUCAACUAUUGAACUGCUUUUGAAACUGUUAACCUAGAGUGUGGGAGAGGUAGAUGGAAUUUCUGGUGUAGGGGUAAAAUCCGUAGAGAUCAGAAGGAAUACCGAUUGCGAAGGCGAUCUACUGGAACAUUACUGACGCUGAGAUGCGAAAGCGUGGGGAGCAAACAGGAUUAGAUACCCUAGUAGUC